UACACGACCGUACCGCAAACCGACACUGGUGCGCGAGAUGAGUAUUCUAAGGCGCUUGAGAGAACUCAGGAGAAGGAACUCGGCAAAUUGACACCGUAACUUCGGAAGAAGGUGUGCCUUUAGUAGGUGAACCAUUUACUUGGGGAGCCCAAUGAGGCUGCAAAAAAUCGGAGGCUGCAACUGUUUAUUAAAAACACAGCACUCUGCUAAGACGAAAGUCGACGUAUAGGGUGUGACGCCUGCCCGGUGCUGGAAGAUUAAAUGAUGGGGUGCAAGCUCUUGAUUGAAGUCCCAGUAAACGGCGGCCGUAACAAUAACGGUCCUAAGGUAGCGAAAUUCCUUGUCGGGUAAGUUCCGACCUGCACGAAUGGCGUAAUGAUGGCCACACUGUCUCCUCCUGAGACUCAGCGAAGUUGAAAUGUUUGUGAUGAUGCAAUCUCCCCGCGGAAAGACGGAAAGACCCCAUGAACCUUUACUGUAGCUUUGUAUUGGGCUUUGAACAGAUCUGUGUAGGAUAGGUGGGAGGCUUUGAAGUGUGGUCGCUAGAUCGCAUGGAGCCAACGUUGAAAUACCACCCUGGUGUGUUUGAGGUUCUAACCUAGGUCCAUUAUCUGGAUCGGGGACAGUGCAUGGUAGGCAGUUUGACUGGGGCGGUCUCCUCCCAAAGUGUAACGGAGGAGUUCGAAGGUACGCUAGGUACGGUCGGACGUCGUGCUAAUAGUGCAAUGGCAUAAGCGUGCUUAACUGCGAGACUGACAAGUCGAGCAGAUGCGAAAGCAGGACAUAGUGAUCCGGUGGUUCUGUAUGGAAGGGCCAUCGCUCAACGGAUAAAAGGUACUCUGGGGAUAACAGGCUGAUACCGCCCAAGAGUUCAUAUCGACGGCGGUGUUUGGCACCUCGAUGUCGGCUCAUCUCAUCCUGGGGCUGUAGCCGGUCCCAAGGGUAUGGCUGUUCGCCAUUUAAAGAGGUACGUGAGCUGGGUUUAAAACGUCGUGAGACAGUUUGGUCCCUAUCUUCCGUGGGCGCUGCAGAUUUGAGGAAGCCUGCUCCUAGUACGAGAGGACCGGAGUGGACGAACCUCUGGUGUAUCGGUUGUCACGCCAGUGGCAUUGCCGAGUAGCUAAGUUCGGAAGAGAUAACCGCUGAAAGCAUCUAAGCGGGAAACUCGUUUCAAGAUUAGAUCUGCCGGGGCCUUGAGCCCCCUAAAGAGUCGUUCAAGACCAGGACGUUGAUAGGUCAGGUGUGGAAGCG
This 1251-nucleotide ribosomal RNA is filed under the name metagenome. RNAcentral describes it as "bacterial LSU rRNA". It matches the Rfam family "Bacterial large subunit ribosomal RNA", at positions 1635 to 2875 of the family's 2925-position model. The record is from RNAcentral.